Molecule: ribosomal RNA, 253 nt
Filed under: uncultured bacterium
Lineage: Bacteria
Description: partial 16S ribosomal RNA
Rfam family: Bacterial small subunit ribosomal RNA
Source: RNAcentral
UACGUAGGGUGCAAGCGUUAUCCGGAAUUAUUGGGCGUAAAGAGCUCGUAGGCGGUCUGUCGCGUCGGCUGUGAAAACUCGGGGCUCAACCCCGAGCCUGCAGUCGAUACGGGCAGACUAGAGUGCUGUAGGGGAGACUGGAAUUCCUGGUGUAGCGGUGAAAUGCGCAGAUAUCAGGAGGAACACCGGUGGCGAAGGCGGGUCUCUGGGCCUUACCUGACGCUGAGGAGCGAAAGCGUGGGUAGCGAACAGG